This is a long non-coding RNA of Harpia harpyja (harpy eagle), 642 nucleotides long. RefSeq lists it as uncharacterized. NCBI's taxonomy places the organism in Eukaryota, Metazoa, Chordata, Aves, Accipitriformes, Accipitridae. The transcript has 6 exons. The record is from RefSeq and is a predicted model, not a curated record.
CCCCGCACAUCCCGAGGCUGAGAGCUCCCGUUAGGAGCGUGACACGCAGCCCCGCGGGCGACCGGGCUUGACUUGAAAGGAAGCCAGGCUUAGGGUCUUGUGCCGUUUUCAGCCAUCUGCGUGAAGGGCGGCCUCUAACAGCUCAAAAGGGAUCACAGAACCGCUGAGGUGGGCAGGGACCUCACCCCUCUGCUCAGAGCAUGGUCAGCCACAGCAAGUUUCUUGAGACUGUUUCCAGCCAGGUAUUGAGUAUCUCCAGGGACAGAGAUUCUCUGGCCAGCCCGUUCCAGUGUUCACUCACUCUUUAAAGUCUUAGCAAAAAUUGAAGACACCAUGAGACGGCACUGGACUACUCAAGCCAGUUUGGCAGAGCUCCUCGUAAAAGCAGAUCAGAAAGUAUGAAAGCAGAUGGAAUUCUCAAUCAGAAAAAUUAUAAGGAGACAGAAUAUUUCUGCCUUGUAUUUAGCAAAAUAAUUGUUUCUGAAAACAUUGCCCAAUGCUGCAACUCUUUCUCAGGUAUGACAAUGCAGAGAUGCUAAAUAUGUUGAGCUUGUAAAGGUAUCUGGGAUCAAGAAAGCGGAAUUUGAACCGCGAUCAGCAGUGACACAGACAAGCCCAUCCUAAAACAUUUCCGUACUUGUG